RNAcentral lists this long non-coding RNA (1632 nucleotides) under Marmota monax (woodchuck). Lineage: Eukaryota; Metazoa; Chordata; Mammalia; Rodentia; Sciuridae. The record is from RNAcentral.
CUAUCUCUUCCCUAUAUAGAAAUUAGCACAAGUAGUGAGGAGCCGUCAUUAACACAAGUAGUGAUGGACACGGCCUUGGUCUAGAUUUCUUCUUGGUUUUUCUGCACAGCUACUCUCAUCAGAUGAUUGUGCUCUAAAGGUCAAGAUCUUGCCAUAGUUUGCUGUGGAUAUGACCUCAAGCAGUGAAUAUUGGAUUUCCAUGUGUUCAUGAGUUGGUUCUCAUCUUGAAAGCAAGAAAAUGACCAAGUGGAGAGAGACUGAGAGCUUGAAUAUUCCUAUGGACAAUGGCCAGACCAUGGAUAAAAAUAGAACUGUGACCUAUAACCUCUGCAAUGACUGGCCCCAAAUGGUCAGGACUUGGUCAAUAACUAAUGGCUUCCCUAGUCCCUGCCCCCACUUCCAACUCAGGACCAACCAGAGAAAGUCAAAAUGAUCUCCAGACCAGUCACAGAGGAUGUCCUGCUUCUAGUAAGCCCACUCCCAGUUUACCCACAUCCACAACCUCAGAUUAGGGCAAACUCAUGCCUCUGCCUGCCUUUGAGUCUCUGCCAAAUGCAAGCAGUAUAACUCGUUUCAGUUGAGCUCUGAAAAUAACUUACAAUUCUCACUGGGACAAUCUUCAUUGAUUUCCACACUGUUUUAUUUUUUGUUUGUUUGUUUGUAUUUUAUAAUUUUAUUUAAUGUAUUUCUUUUUUUAUGUGAUGCUGAGGAUCUAUCCCAGUGCCUCUCAUGUGUAGGCAAGCGCUCUACCACUGAGCCAGCACCCCGGCCCUAGUUGCUAGUUUUAUACUUAGGUCUAUGGCAUUUUCGAGCAAGUUUUUGUAAACAACGUGAAACUUAAGUUUAUUUUCUUUGCACAUGAUUAUCUAUUUCUUAAAUCCAAUUUGUUGAAAAGAUUACAGUUACUCUACUUUGUAUCUGUGUUGAAAGUUAGUUGUCUAGAUGUGUGUGGGUCUAUUUCUGGACUCUAUUCUGUUCCAUAAAUCUAUCUUAUCUGUUUGUAUAACAAUAGCUCAUGUCUUGAUUGUCUUUAUACCAAUAGCUUCUGCCAUAUGAGGACACGGUGAAAAUGUGCCAUCUUUAACCAAAGCAGGUCCUUAACAGAUUCCUUCAUCUUAGACUUCCCAGACUCCAGAAUUGUGAGAAAUAAGCUUCUGGUAUUUAUAUACCCCAUGUAUGGUAUCUUGUAGUUAUGGAUAUACCCCAUGUAUGGUAGCUUGUGAACGAGCUCUCUUUGACCUUUUUAAAAAUUUUUAUUGUCUUCUUGUGACAGAGGGGUCCAGAAUAGCACCAAGUCUGUCUGUCUUCCUCCUUCCCUCUUUCUUUCUUUCUUUCUUUCCUAGGGAUUGAACUCAGGGAUACCUUGCCAGAAGUUACAUCCACAGUCCUUUUUAUUUUUUAUUUUGAGCUAGAAUCUUGCUAAACUGCCCAGGCUGGCCUCAAACUUGCAAUUCUCCUGCCUCAGCCUCCCAAGUCACUGGGAUUACAUUGAAUGUGCCUUUAGAAAACAAUAGCAUAUGCCUAUAAUCCCAGCUACUAGGAAGAGUGAAGCAGGAGGAUUGAAAGUUCAAGGCUAGCCUGGGCAUUUUAGCUUGAUCCUGUCUCAAAAAAAGAGAAGGGAUUGGGGAUGUG